UGUGCUAUGAGCAGAGCUUGAUCAUG
RNAcentral lists this small RNA (26 nucleotides) under Arabidopsis thaliana (thale cress). Its description in RNAcentral is "ATSL193040". The record is from RNAcentral. Lineage: Eukaryota; Viridiplantae; Streptophyta; Magnoliopsida; Brassicales; Brassicaceae.